Molecule: ribosomal RNA, 450 nt
Filed under: uncultured bacterium
Lineage: Bacteria
Description: partial 16S ribosomal RNA
Rfam family: Bacterial small subunit ribosomal RNA
Source: RNAcentral
GUGGGGAAUUUUGGACAAUGGGCGAAAGCCUGAUCCAGCAAUGCCGCGUGUGUGAAGAAGGCCUUCGGGUUGUAAAGCACUUUUGUCCGGAAAGAAAUCCUUUGGGUUAAUACCUCGGAGGGAUGACGGUACCGGAAGAAUAAGGACCGGCUAACUACGUGUCAGCAGCCGCGGUAAUACGUAGGGUCCGAGCGUUAAUCGGAAUUACUGGGCGUAAAGCGUGCGCAGGCGGUUAUGUAAGACAGAUGUGAAAUCCCCGGGCUUAACCUGGGAAUUGCAUUUGGGACUGCAAGGCUAGAGUGUGUCAGAGGGGGGUAGAAUUCCACGUGUAGCAGUGAAAUGCGUAGAGAUGUGGAGGAAUACCGAUGGCGAAGGCAGCCCCCUGGGAUAACACUGACGCUCAUGCACGAAAGCGUGGGGAGCAAACAGGAUUAGAAACCCUGGUAGUCC